Molecule: ribosomal RNA, 69 nt
Filed under: Microlejeunea ulicina
Lineage: Eukaryota; Viridiplantae; Streptophyta; Jungermanniopsida; Porellales; Lejeuneaceae
Also listed under: 2 other names
Description: Lejeunea ulicina partial 26S ribosomal RNA
Rfam family: Eukaryotic large subunit ribosomal RNA
Source: RNAcentral
CGGACCUCAGAUCAGGCAAGACCACCCGCUGAGUUUAAGCAUAUCACUAAGCGGAGGAAAAGAAACUAA